GAUGAUUGAUCUUUUUAUAAUUCGCAGUUAGUCAAUUCUGUGUUUAUCAUGGCAAUUUCUUUUAUUAUUAUUUCUUUAUUUUCAUUUUGCUGAAUAAUGUCUUCUUUUUUGCAACUGCUGCAAUAUCUGUUGUAUGCUUUGCUUGCUCUAAUGUUUAUAUUCUUUUGAGUAUUCAAUGGAAACUGGGGAGUGAGAAGUAGACUGUAUUGAGCAAGUCCUUCUGCAGAUGAAAGGUUUCUUCCCACAACUACAUGUCCAAGGUUUUUGUGCCACCUCAAAGACUCAACAAGCCCAUGUGUUAGGGUCAUAGUGUCAAACCAACCUAAAAUGUUGCAUGCUUUUGAUUGCUCUAAUAUUUGCAUUAUUUGAGUGUUUG
RNAcentral lists this long non-coding RNA (376 nucleotides) under Gossypium barbadense (sea-island cotton). RNAcentral's name for it is "long non-coding RNA (GBAR_LNC004228)". Lineage: Eukaryota; Viridiplantae; Streptophyta; Magnoliopsida; Malvales; Malvaceae. The record is from RNAcentral.